GGGAACUUAGCUCAGUUGGUAGAGCGUAUGAUCGUUAAUCAUGAUGUCACUGGUUCGAAUCCAGUAGUUCUCG
This 73-nucleotide transfer RNA is filed under the name Weissella paramesenteroides. RNAcentral describes it as "tRNA-Asn". It matches the Rfam family "tRNA". Rfam says of the family: Transfer RNA (tRNA) molecules are approximately 80 nucleotides in length. RNAcentral also lists the same sequence under 1 other name. Lineage: Bacteria; Bacillati; Bacillota; Bacilli; Lactobacillales; Lactobacillaceae. The record is from RNAcentral.